Molecule: ribosomal RNA, 450 nt
Filed under: uncultured bacterium
Lineage: Bacteria
Description: partial 16S ribosomal RNA
Rfam family: Bacterial small subunit ribosomal RNA
Source: RNAcentral
GUGGGGAAUUUUGGACAAUGGGCGAAAGCCUGAUCCAGCAAUGCCGCGUGCAGGAAGAAGGCCUUCGGGUUGUAAACUGCUUUUGUACGGAACGAAACGGUCCGGGUUAAUACCCUGGGCUAAUGACGGUACCGUAAGAAUAAGCACCGGCUAACUACGUGCCAGCAGCCGCGGUAAUACGUAGGGUGCAAGCGUUAAUCGGAAUUACUGGGCGUAAAGCGUGCGCAGGCGGUUUUGUAAGACAGGCGUGAAAUCCCCGGGCUCAACCUGGGAAUUGCGCUUGUGACUGCAAGGCUGGAGUGCGGCAGAGGGGGAUGGAAUUCCGCGUGUAGCAGUGAAAUGCGUAGAUAUGCGGAGGAACACCGAUGGCGAAGGCAAUCCCCUGGGCCUGCACUGACGCUCAUGCACGAAAGCGUGGGGAGCAAACAGGAUUAGAUACCCUAGUAGUCC